UCCAAUCAUAAGGCAGUUGGAGAGCGAAUUGGCGAAGUGUCGCGAAAUAAUAGACACUCAACGAAAAAUUAUGGAAGGAUUGGAUGCGGAUAUAGAAUGCCAACGACAAACCAUCGAAGAUUUGACGAACAAAUUGACAAAUCAACCAUCCAUUGCCGAUCCGUCUGUAAGCAGUUUCAGCUCGUCCAUCGAAACAAGGGACGUGUAAAACUUGGCUAUUGAGCGACUAAAGACAGAGAUAUACAGUUUAAGAAAGGAAAUCGAAAGGUUGACUGACCAUGUUGACGAGAAAGAGGCAAGGCGUCUGAGCCUACUGACUCGCAACGACAACCUUGUCAAAUCUGAAGCGAGACAGAAAGAAAAAGUCGUCAAGAUAUCCAACGAAUAUGACAGAUUCUAUCACCUCGCCGAUGAAAAAGU
Molecule: long non-coding RNA, 420 nt
Organism: Bradysia coprophila
Lineage: Eukaryota; Metazoa; Arthropoda; Insecta; Diptera; Sciaridae
Source: RefSeq, a predicted model, not a curated record